Molecule: transfer RNA, 84 nt
Filed under: Sphagnurus paluster
Lineage: Eukaryota; Fungi; Basidiomycota; Agaricomycetes; Agaricales; Lyophyllaceae
Description: Tephrocybe palustris tRNA
Rfam family: tRNA
About the family: Transfer RNA (tRNA) molecules are approximately 80 nucleotides in length. Their secondary structure includes four short double-helical elements and three loops (D, anti-codon, and T loops). Further hydrogen bonds mediate the characteristic L-shaped molecular structure. tRNAs have two regions of fundamental functional importance: the anti-codon, which is responsible for specific mRNA codon recognition, and the 3' end, to which the tRNAs corresponding amino acid is attached (by aminoacyl-tRNA synthetases). tRNAs cope with the degeneracy of the genetic code in two manners: having more than one tRNA (with a specific anti-codon) for a particular amino acid; and 'wobble' base-pairing, i.e. permitting non-standard base-pairing at the 3rd anti-codon position.
Source: Rfam by way of RNAcentral
GGGCACAUGGUGUAGUUGGUUAUCACGCCCGCUUAGCACUUGCUAGUCUGCGGGCGGUCCCCGGUUCAAUUCCGGGUGUGUCCA